GUGAGGAAAUUAGUCCUCUGGGAGGUGACCAGUCCUCUGUGAGUUGUCCCAUUUUCAGUGAGGUGUCCAGGGCUCUGUCAGAUUAUCAGGCCUCUGUGAGGUGACCCAGUCCUCUUUGAGAUGUCCCGUUCUCUGUGAGAUGACAAGGCCUCUGUGAUGUGACCAGCCCUCUGUGUGGAGGCAUAUCUUCUUUCCCAGCUGCCAUUCUGUUCCAUGGACGAUGCUGGCAAGUCCCAAACCCUCUCCAGCUAUUACGAUGAACACCUUGCAGAAGAAAGAAGUCUGCCGCAGAGAAAGACGACUGGAUGGGGCAGCUGGGAAGGGUUCUUACUACCAAGCCUGAAGGCCCAAGUUUGAUCCCUAAAGCUCACAUAGCAAAAGGAGUGGAACGGCUCCUGAAAGCUACCCUCUGACCUCCACCUUAUGUCUCCUUCACAAAGAAACAAAUCAAGAUAAAUAAAUAAAUGUAUGCAGUUUU
RNAcentral lists this long non-coding RNA (478 nucleotides) under Mus caroli (Ryukyu mouse). RNAcentral's name for it is "lncRNA (MGP_CAROLIEiJ_G0006186.1)". Lineage: Eukaryota; Metazoa; Chordata; Mammalia; Rodentia; Muridae. The record is from RNAcentral.